RNAcentral lists this ribosomal RNA (460 nucleotides) under uncultured bacterium. Its description in RNAcentral is "partial 16S ribosomal RNA". It matches the Rfam family "Bacterial small subunit ribosomal RNA", at positions 338 to 795 of the family's 1533-position model. The record is from RNAcentral.
CCUACGGGUGACAGCAGUGAGGAAUAUUGGUCAAUGGACGAGAGUCUGAACCAGCCAAGUAGCGUGAAGGAUGACUGCCCUAUGGGUUGUAAACUUCUUUUAUAUGGGAAUAAAAUGUUCCACGUGUGGGAUUUUGUAUGUACCAUAUGAAUAAGGAUCGGCUAACUCCGUGCCAGCAGCCGCGGUAAUACGGAGGAUCCGAGCGUUAUCCGGAUUUAUUGGGUUGAAAGGGUGCGUAGGUGGAUUGUUAAGUCAGUUGUGAAAGUUUGCGGCUCAACCGUAAAAUUGCAGUUGAAACUGGCAGUCUUGAGUACAGUAGAGGUGAGCGGAAUUCGUGGUGUAGCGGUGAAAUGCUUAGAUAUCACGAAGAACUCCGAUUGCGAAGGCAGUUCACUGGACUGCAACUGACACUGAGGCUCGAAAGUGUGGGUAUCAAACAGGAUUAGAUACCCGUGUAGUC